Molecule: non-coding RNA, 23 nt
Filed under: Arabidopsis thaliana (thale cress)
Lineage: Eukaryota; Viridiplantae; Streptophyta; Magnoliopsida; Brassicales; Brassicaceae
Source: RNAcentral
CAUGUGCAUAGACUACUAGUCCA